AUGGGGGAAACCCUGAUGCAGCCAUGCCGCGUGUGUGAAGAAGGCCUUCGGGUUGUAAAGCACUUUCAGUUGUGAGGAAAAGUUAGUAGUUAAUACCUGCUAGCCGUGACGUUAACAACAGAAGAAGCACCGGCUAACUCCGUGCCAGCAGCCGCGGUAAUACGGAGGGUGCGAGCGUUAAUCGGAAUUACUGGGCGUAAAGCGCACGCAGGCGGUUUGUUAAGCUAGAUGUGAAAGCCCCGGGCUCAACCUGGGACGGUCAUUUAGAACUGGCAGACUAGAGUCUUGGAGAGGGGAGUGGAAUUCCAGGUGUAGCGGUGAAAUGCGUAGAUAUCUGGAGGAACAUCAGUGGCGAAGGCGACUCCCUGGCCAAAGACUGACGCUCAUGUGCGAAAGUGUGGGUAGCGAACAGGAUUAGAUACCCUGGUAGUCCACACCGUAAACGCUGUCUACUAGCUGUUUGUGACUUUAAGUCGUGAGUAGCGAAGCUAACGCGAUAAGUAGACCGCCUGGGGAGUACGGCCGCAAGGUUAAAACUCAAAUGAAUUGACGGGGGCCCGCACAAGCGGUGGAGCAUGUGGUUUAAUUCGAUGCAACGCGAAGAACCUUACCUACACUUGACAUGUUGAGAAGUUACCAGAGAUGGUUUCGUGCCUUCGGGAACUCAAACACAGGUGCUGCAUGGCUGUCGUCAGCUCGUGUCGUGAGAUGUUGGGUUAGUCCCGCAACGAGCGCAACCCUUGUCCUUAGUUGCCAGCAUUCAGU
RNAcentral lists this ribosomal RNA (765 nucleotides) under Alteromonas sp. MED517. RNAcentral's name for it is "bacterial SSU rRNA". It matches the Rfam family "Bacterial small subunit ribosomal RNA", at positions 371 to 1129 of the family's 1533-position model. The record is from RNAcentral. Lineage: Bacteria; Pseudomonadati; Pseudomonadota; Gammaproteobacteria; Alteromonadales; Alteromonadaceae.